This 26-nucleotide unclassified non-coding RNA is filed under the name Mus musculus (house mouse). RNAcentral describes it as "oocyte_clustered_small_RNA13405". The record is from RNAcentral. Lineage: Eukaryota; Metazoa; Chordata; Mammalia; Rodentia; Muridae.
CACAGUUGUCCUGUUCUACAUAGCCA